Molecule: ribosomal RNA, 1171 nt
Filed under: Klebsiella michiganensis
Lineage: Bacteria; Pseudomonadati; Pseudomonadota; Gammaproteobacteria; Enterobacterales; Enterobacteriaceae
Description: partial 23S ribosomal RNA
Rfam family: Bacterial large subunit ribosomal RNA
Source: RNAcentral
UGGAGCUGAAAUCAGUCGAAGAUACCAGCUGGCUGCAACUGUUUAUUAAAAACACAGCACUGUGCAAACACGAAAGUGGACGUAUACGGUGUGACGCCUGCCCGGUGCCGGAAGGUUAAUUGAUGGGGUUAUCCUCGCGGAGAAGCUCUUGAUCGAAGCCCCGGUAAACGGCGGCCGUAACUAUAACGGUCCUAAGGUAGCGAAAUUCCUUGUCGGGUAAGUUCCGACCUGCACGAAUGGCGUAAUGAUGGCCAGGCUGUCUCCACCCGAGACUCAGUGAAAUUGAACUCGCUGUGAAGAUGCAGUGUACCCGCGGCAAGACGGAAAGACCCCGUGAACCUUUACUAUAGCUUGACACUGAACACUGGUCCUUGAUGUGUAGGAUAGGUGGGAGGCUUUGAAGUGUGGACGCCAGUCUGCAUGGAGCCAUCCUUGAAAUACCACCCUUUAAUGGCUGGUGUUCUAACGUGGGCCCGUAAUCCGGGUUGCGGACAGUGUCUGGUGGGUAGUUUGACUGGGGCGGUCUCCUCCUAAAGAGUAACGGAGGAGCACGAAGGUCAGCUAAUCCUGGUCGGACAUCAGGAGGUUAGUGCAAUGGCAUAAGCUGGCUUGACUGCGAGCGUGACGGCGCGAGCAGGUGCGAAAGCAGGUCAUAGUGAUCCGGUGGUUCUGAAUGGAAGGGCCAUCGCUCAACGGAUAAAAGGUACUCCGGGGAUAACAGGCUGAUACCGCCCAAGAGUUCAUAUCGACGGCGGUGUUUGGCACCUCGAUGUCGGCUCAUCACAUCCUGGGGCUGAAGUAGGUCCCAAGGGUAUGGCUGUUCGCCAUUUAAAGUGGUACGCGAGCUGGGUUUAGAACGUCGUGAGACAGUUCGGUCCCUAUCUGCCGUGGGCGCUGGAGAAUUGAGGGGGGCUGCUCCUAGUACGAGAGGACCGGAGUGGACGCAUCACUGGUGUUCGGGUUGUCAUGCCAAUGGCAUUGCCCGGUAGCUAAAUGCGGAAGAGAUAAGUGCUGAAAGCAUCUAAGCACGAAACUUGCCCCGAGAUGAGUUCUCCCUGACCCUUUAAGGGUCCUGAAGGAACGUUGAAGACGACGACGUUGAUAGGCCGGGUGUGUAAGCGCAGCGAUGCGUUGAGCUAACCGGUACUAAUGAACCGUGAGGCUUAACCUU